Molecule: transfer RNA, 73 nt
Filed under: archaeon
Lineage: Archaea
Description: tRNA-Thr
Rfam family: tRNA
About the family: Transfer RNA (tRNA) molecules are approximately 80 nucleotides in length. Their secondary structure includes four short double-helical elements and three loops (D, anti-codon, and T loops).
Source: RNAcentral
GCCGCAGUAGCUCAGUUGACAGAGUGCGUCAUUGGUAAUGACGAGGUCACGGGUUUGAAUCCCGUCUGUGGCU